CAGUCGCCGCGGUAAUACGAAGGGGGCUAGCGUUGCUCGGAAUGACUGGGCGUAAAGGGCGCGUAGGCGGAUGGCACAGUCAGAUGUGAAAUUCCCGGGCUUAACCUGGGGGCUGCAUUUGAUACGUGUUGUCUAGAGUGAGGAAGAGGGUCGUGGAAUUCCCAGUGUAGAGGUGAAAUUCGUAGAUAUUGGGAAGAACACCGGUGGCGAAGGCGGCGACCUGGUCCUUUACUGGCGCUGAGGCGCGAAAGCGUGGGGAGCAAACAGGAUUAGAUACCCGCGUAGUCCCUGUCUCUUAUAC
RNAcentral lists this ribosomal RNA (301 nucleotides) under uncultured bacterium. Its description in RNAcentral is "partial 16S ribosomal RNA". It matches the Rfam family "Bacterial small subunit ribosomal RNA", at positions 509 to 807 of the family's 1533-position model. The record is from RNAcentral.